RNAcentral lists this ribosomal RNA (398 nucleotides) under uncultured bacterium. Its description in RNAcentral is "partial 16S ribosomal RNA". It matches the Rfam family "Bacterial small subunit ribosomal RNA", at positions 523 to 918 of the family's 1533-position model. The record is from RNAcentral.
AUACGUAGGUGACAAGCGUUAUCCGGAUUUACUGGGCGUAAAGAGCUCGUAGGUGGUUUGUCGCGUCGUCUGUGAAAUUCCGGGGCUUAACUCCGGGCGUGCAGGCGAUACGGGCAUAACUUGAGUACUGUAGGGGAGACUGGAAUUCCUGGUGUAGCGGUGAAAUGCGCAGAUAUCAGGGGGAACACCGGGGGCGAAGGCGGGUCUCUGGGCAGUAACUGACGCUGAGGAGCGAAAGCAGGGGUAGCGAACAGGAUUAGAUACCAUGGUAGUCCAUGCCGUAAACGGUGGGCGCUAGGUGUAGGGGUCUUCCACGACUUCUGUGCCGUAGCUAACGCAUUAAGCGCCCCGCCUGGGGAGUACGGCCGCAAGGCUAAAACUUAAAGGAAUUGACGGGG